GUUCCUACGGGAGGCAGCAGUGGGGAAUAUUGCACAAUGGGCGAAAGCCUGAUGCAGCAACGCCGCGUGAAGGGAGACGGUUUUCGGAUUGUAAACUUCUAUCAAUAGGGAAGAAAGAAAUGACGGUACCUAAAUAAGAAGCCCCGGCUAACUACGUGCCAGCAGCCGCGGUAAUACGUAGGGGGCAAGCGUUAUCCGGAAUUACUGGGUGUAAAGGGCGUGCAGCCGGAGAGACAAGUCAGAUGUGAAAUCCACAGGCUCAACCUGUGAACUGCAUUUGAAACUGUUUCGCGUGAG
Molecule: ribosomal RNA, 297 nt
Filed under: uncultured bacterium
Lineage: Bacteria
Description: partial 16S ribosomal RNA
Rfam family: Bacterial small subunit ribosomal RNA
Source: RNAcentral